AUAACGACUCUCGACAACGGAUAUCUCGGCUCUCGCAUCGAUGAAGAACGUAGCGAAAUGCGAUACUUGGUGUGAAUUGCAGAAUCCCGCGAACCAUCGAGUCUUUGAACGCAAGUUGCGCCCGAAGCCAUCGGGUUGAGGGCACGUCUGCCUGGGCGUCACG
RNAcentral lists this ribosomal RNA (163 nucleotides) under Corallodiscus conchifolius. Its description in RNAcentral is "5.8S ribosomal RNA". It matches the Rfam family "5.8S ribosomal RNA". Rfam says of the family: 5.8S ribosomal RNA (5.8S rRNA) is a component of the large subunit of the eukaryotic ribosome. It is transcribed by RNA polymerase I as part of the 45S precursor that also contains 18S and 28S rRNA. Lineage: Eukaryota; Viridiplantae; Streptophyta; Magnoliopsida; Lamiales; Gesneriaceae. The record is from RNAcentral.